UACGGAGGGGGCUAGCGUUGUUCGGAAUUACUGGGCGUAAAGCGCACGUAGGCGGCUUUGUAAGUUAGAGGUGAAAGCCCAGGGCUUAACCCUGGAAUUGCCUUUAAGACUGCAUCGCUAGAAUCGUGGAGAGGUGAGUGGAAUUCCGAGUGUAGAGGUGAAAUUCGUAGAUAUCGGGAGGAACACCUGUGGCGAAAGCGGCGCACUGGACCACAACUGACGCUGAGGCGCGAAAGCUAGGGGAGCAAACAGG
RNAcentral lists this ribosomal RNA (253 nucleotides) under uncultured bacterium. Its description in RNAcentral is "partial 16S ribosomal RNA". It matches the Rfam family "Bacterial small subunit ribosomal RNA", at positions 524 to 776 of the family's 1533-position model. The record is from RNAcentral.